This 484-nucleotide ribosomal RNA is filed under the name uncultured bacterium. RNAcentral's name for it is "bacterial SSU rRNA". It matches the Rfam family "Bacterial small subunit ribosomal RNA", at positions 29 to 487 of the family's 1533-position model. The record is from RNAcentral.
AACUAACGCUGGCGGCGUGCCUAACACAUGCAAGUCGUACGAGAAAGCCGGCUUCGGCUGGUGAGUAAAGUGGCGCACGGGUGAGUAACGCGUGGAUAAUCUGCCCUUAAGUGUGGAAUAACGUACCGAAAGGUGCGCUAAUACCGCAUAAUGCCUGGCAACACAAGUUGUCCGGCCAAAGAAGGCCUCUGUUUACAAGCUUUCGCUUCAGGAUGAGUCCGCGUACCAUUAGCUUGUUGGUGGGGUAAUGGCCUACCAAGGCUGCGAUGGUUAGCUGGUCUGAGAGGAUGAUCAGCCACACUGGAACUGAGACACGGUCCAGACUCCUACGGGAGGCAGCAGUGAGGAAUAUUGCGCAAUGGGGGCAACCCUGACGCAGCAACGCCGCGUGAGUGAGGAAGGUUUUCGGACUGUAAAAGCUCUGUCGAGCGGGAAGAAGUGUACCAUGGCUAAUAUCCAUGAUAUUUGACGGUACCGCUAGAGG